Anopheles funestus (African malaria mosquito) is the source of this 722-nucleotide long non-coding RNA. RefSeq lists it as uncharacterized. The record is from RefSeq and is a predicted model, not a curated record. The transcript is spliced from 2 exons. NCBI's taxonomy places the organism in Eukaryota, Metazoa, Arthropoda, Insecta, Diptera, Culicidae.
UCCAGUGUUACGUAAUAGUUGAACGAUCCCCAAAUAAUGUACCGGAUAGUUUCAAUUAAUUAUGCACUUUUAUGGACCAUAUCGACGAUCGAACUCUGCCUCUCUGAUUUUAUGUUUCACUCAAUCUAGUAGUCCUUCAAAGAAGGCACUUUUAUCAGCCAAAAAAAAAACACCUCAGCUACAGAACGAUAAUGUACUGUCGGUCGGAUCGCAAAACCACAAAAUUGCGGUCAGCAGCGAAUCGUUUUGCAUGACAAAACAACAUUUUGUCGCAUUGCCACUCUGGCCAAAGUUCUCACAGCAAAAUACAGUGUCCGCUAAAGAUCCACCACACCCGAUACCGGCCAACACGUGACGAUGCGAAAACCGGAUUAACGAAACGAGACACCGAAGAAAACGAUUAAACUCUGCGCCGGUGGUGAGCCGGUGGAACACAAAGCAGGGUGGAAAAGCAAAGGCGCAGAACAUUAAAGGGCAGAAGCGUUUUACAUUCGCUCUUGUUUUCUUGUGUGGAUUUCGUUUUUUUUCAGCCGCUUCUACACAUACAAUGCACCGUAAAGUGCAAGUGCACUUGGAGAAAAAAUUGAACAUUAUUUUAUUUUACCAAAAACAUGAACCUUUUGCAUCUAUUAACCUGAACGGUGAAAAGAAACCAUAAAAACCAUUUCUUCAAACGGCAAAGAUUAAAAAAACACACACAAAAAAGCUUUAUCAAUGGCAAA